AUUGAACGCUGGCGGCAUGCUUUACACAUGCAAGUCGAACGGCAGCGCGGGCUUCGGCCUGGCGGCGAGUGGCGAACGGGUGAGUAAUGCAUCGGAACGUGCCCAGUAGUGGGGGAUAGCCCGGCGAAAGCCGGAUUAAUACCGCAUACGACCUGAGGGUGAAAGCGGGGGACCGAAAGGCCUCGCGCUAUUGGAGCGGCCGAUGUCGGAUUAGCUAGCUGGUGGGGUAAAGGCUUACCAAGGCGACGAACCGUAGCUGGUCUGAGAGGACGACCAGCCACACUGGGACUGAGACACGGCCCAGACUCCUACGGGAGGCAGCAGUGGGGAAUUUUGGACAAUGGGGGCAACCCUGAUCCAGCCAUGCCGCGUGCGAGAAGAAGGCCUUCGGGUUGUAAACCGCUUUUGUUCGGGAAGAAAUCCUCUGGGCUAAUACCCCGGGGGGAUGACGGUACCGGAAGAAUAAGCACCGGCUAACUACGUG
RNAcentral lists this ribosomal RNA (484 nucleotides) under uncultured bacterium. RNAcentral describes it as "partial 16S ribosomal RNA". It matches the Rfam family "Bacterial small subunit ribosomal RNA", at positions 29 to 507 of the family's 1533-position model. The record is from RNAcentral.